Long non-coding RNA from Balaenoptera ricei (Rice's whale), 2946 nucleotides. RefSeq lists it as uncharacterized. The transcript has 6 exons. The record is from RefSeq and is a predicted model, not a curated record. NCBI's taxonomy places the organism in Eukaryota, Metazoa, Chordata, Mammalia, Artiodactyla, Balaenopteridae.
CUAAUUUUAGAAAUGACUUGUCCACUCAGCUGCUGCUAUCACAUUGGCGUGGGGGAGGACGGAGAGGAGCAGUCAGGGAAGGGGGUAUGAGUGCCGGCGCCGGGCGGGGAGCUGCUGCCAUUUCUUCUCUGUCCCUGCUCUCCUGGCCUGGUGGGUCUCUGCGCUGGGACCUGCGGAGACCCCUCGGACCGGAGUGGAUCCCGUGACCUCAGCCCCGGCUGGAGAAGUAGAGAAGAUUCGAGCCACCUUCACUGUUCUCCGGGCCUUUGGCUCCGUGUUCACCGGCCACAGCCGCCGUGCCACCCGGUUCUCCAUGGUGAUGUCACUGGACUUCAAUGCCACAGGCUGAGUCACGGCCGCCCAGCUCCAGAUGAUGCUGUUGGAGAAGAGCCACGUGGCCCGGCAGCUGGAAGGGGAAGGCAAUUUCGAGGUUUUCUCCCAGAUGCUAGCCGGAUUGGACCUGGAUCUCAGGACAGAACUGUACCUGCACCAGCUGGCAGACAGCAGCUCCUUCGGCAUGGGCGUGUGGCCUAAGGCAAGCAGAGGGCGGCGGCUGCCUUAGCGCAGCUCCAGGGCACCAUGGAGACGCUGGGCGUUUUGGAGAGCGAGCAGAGGGCCAUUUGGCGUGUGUUGGCAGCCAUCUACCACCUGGGUGCGGCGGGGGCCUGCAAAGGUGGAGAAGGGAAUUCAGAGUUGUUCAACACCUUCUCAGGGCCAGGUGCUCUGCUGAGAACCUCACGUGCCACCAUCUCGCCCAGUCCUUGCAGCCCAGCGAAGAGGUGUUUGAGGUUUUAUGACUCCGUUUUGCAGAUGAAGAAACUGAGGCUCAAAAAGGCUGUGAGACUGGUCCAAGGGCUGACAGCUGGGAAUGACGGGAACGGGACGCAGACCCUGCCUGUCUGCUCCGGUGCCUGUGUUCCUGCCCAGUCCCCUUUCUCCUCACCGCAGGUGCUGCCCCAGGGCUCUCAGCCUCCACUGAGAAGGCGUGGCCUCCACCCAGGUCUGGACGAAGACAGAGGGGCCCAUGGGGUUGGAUUUGGUGCCUGGCCAGCCUUCGGGAGCUGGAAGCAGAAAUACAUUUUCCCGGCAGAGCUCCCAUGUGCCUCCUGGGUUUCACCAGCGGGCUGCUGCUCAGCGCAUUUGGAAAUAUGCCCCUUAAGUCAGGCGGGACCUCGAGAGUCCUGCCCAGUCCAUUUCCUGCUCCUCUUUUCAGAAACAACCAUUGCCGAGCCCCUUCAUGAGCUCUCCCCAGCUCAGCCAGGCUAUAGGUCACUGUGGGCAGAGUGUGGGAGACUGUUUCAGAGGGUGGCAGUGGAGGUGAUGGGGCAGGAGAGGGGCAGGACGUUGCCCACCUAGACAGUCAUCUCCUGUUUAAUUCACUUUCAACCCCAUCACAGGAAGAAGGAAAUCUCAUUCAGGGCUAGUAGCCUUUAACUCCUCUCUGUAAUACUUGCUAAUCUCCCUUUUUCAACAAAGAGAAAGCAGACCUCAGACUCCCAGGUAACUGUAUCUAAUUAGAAUCUAAUGGUAUUUCUGUACGCAUAUUGUAUUUAUUUCUACUUUCUAUUUGUGACAAGUGAUAACAGUGUUGGUUCAGAAACUGGCCCCCACUGUGGUGGAGAGCAGGGAGAGACUGAAGAAAGAGGCAGCCACUCCAGAUUGGUGGGUGGCAGGUGUAAUAUGCAAGGGAACUGACAUACAGGGCUUGUCUUGGAUGCUGCAAGAAGGGUAGGUCUCCACCCCCGCCCGCCAGAGUCUUAAAGUUUAUAGAGGCCGGAACUGGGCUCAGUCACGGAGACCUUCUGGAUGGUCUCAGUAACACCCCGCUCUCUCAAGGCUGUGCCCUUGUAACAGCUCCCACUGUGGGAGUGGGGGAGGGGCUGGAUGUAUAUUCCAAGGGCAGGGGAGGGGGUGAGGAGUUUCUAAUUGCCCAGGGCCAGCUCGCAGGUCACCUGGUGGUCAUAUCCUCUCAAGGACCUCCUUCAACAAAUGGGUUCGUGUUUAAGUUAGUGCUAUAACAUUUCCUUUCACAAGGUAUUUAUGUACGUGAAAAAGAUUAGUGAUUCCAUUUAAAAGAAAGUCCUAUCUAGGACUAUCUAGGGACACAAGGAUUUGACAAAUUUCCUAAAGGUGACAUUGGAAGGAUUGAUUCUGGGGAGAUAGUUCUUCCACUUAGUCUGAUUUCUGGUGACUUUUCCGAAUCAGUUUUCUCAUCUGUAAAAUGGGAAUAAUACUGCUUUCGAGGACUUUUGUGAAGAUUCAAUAAUAGUAAUAAUAAUAAUAAGUAAUUACAACUUGCAUGUAUUGAGUUUUUUUCUGUGUCACACCUGGAACUCCAAGACAGGCUUUCUGACUCCAAAGCCCAUGAGCUGAACAAAGAUGACAUGUUGAAUAAAAUGGGGUCACUGAGUGGUAACUGCUAUCAUCACCAUCAACCACCGUCGUCAUCACCAUCAUCUCAUCAUCUCCACCAUCACCUCCACCAUCAUCACCAUGUCAUCACCACCAUCAUUGUUACCUUCUUCACCGUUUUUUAAAGUAGCAGGGGACUUUCCUGGUGGCUCAGUGGUUAAGAAUCCGCCUGCCAAUGCAGGGGGCAUGGGUUCGAUCCCUGGUCCGGGAAGAUCCCACAUGCCACAGAGCAACUAAGCCUUUGCGCCACAACUACUGAGCAUGUGCUCUAGAGCCCGUGAGCCACAACUACUGAAGCCCAGGCACUCUAGGGCCCACAUGCCGCAACUACUGAAGCCUGCACACUCUAGUGCCCACGUGCCGCAACUACUGAACCCACACGCUGCAACUGCUGAAGCCCAUGCACCUAGAGCCCAUGCUCCGCAACAAGAGAAGCCACUGCACUGAGAAGUCCGAGCACCACAACGGAAGAGUAGGCCCUGCUCACCGCAACUAGAGAAAGCCUGCGCGAAGCAAUGAAGACCCAAUGCAGCC